This 642-nucleotide ribosomal RNA is filed under the name Triticum aestivum (bread wheat). RNAcentral's name for it is "partial small subunit ribosomal RNA". Lineage: Eukaryota; Viridiplantae; Streptophyta; Magnoliopsida; Poales; Poaceae. The record is from RNAcentral.
AUGCUUAAGAAAGCUUUGAUUUCUGCACCCAUUGUUCAGCCUCCUGAUUGGAAUUUACCCUUUGAAAUUAUGUGUGAUGCUAGUGAUUAUGCUGUAGGUGUUGUCCUAGGACAAAGAGUUGAUAAGAAAUUAAAUUUUAUCCAAUGUGCUAGUAAAACUCUAGACAGUGCCCAGAGAAAUUAUGCUACUACUGAAAAGGAAUUUCUAGCAGUUGUAUUUGCUUGUAAUAAGUUCAAACCUUAUAUUGUUGAUUCUAAAGUAACUGUUCACACUGAUCAUGUUGCUAUUAAAUACCUUAUGGAAAAGAAAGAUGCUAAACCUAGACUUAUUAGAUGGGUACUCCUGCUACAAGAAUUUUAUUUACAUAUUAUUGAUAGAAAGGGAGCUAAGAACCCCGUUGCAGACAAUUUGUCUAGGUUAGAGAAUGUUCUUGAUGACCCACUACCUAUUGAUGAUAGCUUUCCUGAUGAACAAUUAGCGGUCCUAAAUGCUUCUCGUACUGCUCAAUGGUAUGCUGAUUAUGCUAAUUAUAGUGUUGCUAAAUUUAUACCACCUAGUUUCACAUACCAGCAAAAGAAAAAGUUUUUGUAUGAUUUAAGGCAUUACUUCUAUGAUCACCCACACCUUUAUAAAAAGGAGUAG